GCUAGCAUAGCAUAAUGGUUUGGGCACUGGAUUACGACUCUGGAGAUCAGGGUUCAAUUCCCCAUUCAGUCA
Phrynosoma platyrhinos (Desert horned lizard) is the source of this 72-nucleotide non-coding RNA. Lineage: Eukaryota; Metazoa; Chordata; Lepidosauria; Squamata; Phrynosomatidae. The record is from the annotation of a GenBank genome assembly.